CCAUCCUGGGGCUGAAGUAGGUCCCAAGGGUAUGGCUGUUCGCCAUUUAAAGUGGUACGCGAGCUGGGUUUAGAACGUCGUGAGACAGUUCGGUCCCUAUCUGCCGUGGGCGCUGGAGAACUGAGGGGGGCUGCUCCUAGUACGAGAGGACCGGAGUGGACGCAUCACUGGUGUUCGGGUUGUCAUGCCAAUGGCACUGCCCGGUAGCUAAAUGCGGAAGAGAUAAGUGCUGAAAGCAUCUAAGCACGAAACUUGCCCCGAGAUGAGUUCUCCCUGACUCCUUGAGAGUCCUGAAGGAACGUUGAAGACGACGACGUUGAUAGGCCGGGUGUGUAAGCGCAGCGAUGCGUUGAGCUAACCGGUACUAAUGAACCGUGAGGCUUAACCU
This 388-nucleotide non-coding RNA is filed under the name Streptomyces abyssalis. RNAcentral's name for it is "Bacterial large subunit ribosomal RNA". It matches the Rfam family "Bacterial large subunit ribosomal RNA", at positions 2542 to 2925 of the family's 2925-position model. Lineage: Bacteria; Bacillati; Actinomycetota; Actinomycetes; Kitasatosporales; Streptomycetaceae. The record is from Rfam by way of RNAcentral.